Molecule: long non-coding RNA, 3489 nt
Filed under: Durio zibethinus
Lineage: Eukaryota; Viridiplantae; Streptophyta; Magnoliopsida; Malvales; Malvaceae
Description: long non-coding RNA (DZIB_LNC001989)
Source: RNAcentral
GACAAAUUGUAGUGGCCGGCAAUGCCAGGGAGCAACAAGCUCCACUACUUGGUUUGUAGGCCACAACAACAGAUAAAAUUAUCUACAAGCCAAAAUUAUCUACAAAUUCUUUAGAAAAAAACAGAGAGAAUUCGACUUAACAACACAGACAAAAGGGAGAGCAAAAAUUCCAAGGCAAAACUUUCAAACUAUAUUUUUUUUCAUAGCCAAACGCAAGCUUUUCUCAACUAGCUUAGCCUUGCCACCAAAACCGCUCCUGUAACCACCAUUUUAUAGCCCCAGCCUCGUGGCUGAACCACAGCCGAAACUACCACCGAAACAAUCCCCCCUUAUCCAUAAAUCGACCCUGCCUCUGCCUUCAUUUAAACCCGAAACAGACCACCAUCACUAACCUUCUACCCCAGCUAAAAACCUUCCCUAUCACCCUAACCAUAGUAGAUCACCAUAAUCACCGAAAAAAUCUUAGUCAUCCCACAACCCUUCCCAAACUUGCCACAACCAAGCCCCCAUCGAAGCCCCAUCCUAAACUGUAAAACCCAUACCUGCAAUGUUUCCCCACAAAGACUGAAACCUUAACAUCUAACCAAGAACCAUCCUUGAUCGAAACCCAUAGCACACCCAGAAAGAAACACCAUAAAAUAAAAUAAUAACAGAAAAAUGAAACACAUCCCUUGGAUUUGGGGAAAAGCAGCACCAAAAAAAAAAAAAAAAGAAAGCAAAAACAGAGGAGGUGGCGUCGGCUUAAGGGAGUCAGCGGCGGCGAGAUUUUUUUGGCUGAUCAGCGACGAUGAAGAGGAAAGAUAGAAGAAGGAAAUUGACAUACUAAAAAGGCAGAAGGAUCGGACGGUGAAGGAGGAGAUUUCUUUGUUUGAAGUUUCGGGCUUUCGAUUUAGAUCUAGAACGAUAGAGGUUGAUUUGUGGAAAUCCAAGCUCGGAUCUGUAAUGAAGACGUUGUGAAGAAGCUGUGGUGAAAUUUUGGGAGGAAAAGGACACCGAGCGGUGGCGAUCGAUGACGACACUGACGAUGACCAAUGGUAGCCAACCACCGCUUUUUGGGUUUAAAGGGGGCUGUUUAAUUUUUUUGUAGAAUGAGAAAAUAUUUUUGGUGAGAACAAAGGAGGAAAUGACAAAAAAAUACUAAGUUUUUAGAGUUUGAAAAAAAAGGGAGAAAAGGUUGAACCGGACCUACACAGUCCAGCAUGACCCGACCUGCGUUCUUGCAGCCCAACCCAGGCCUCUUGAUCGAACCCGAUCCACGAUCUAUGGAGCCUACUCUGCUCCAGCUCCUGGCUCAACUCUGGGUUUGUUCCUAUUUGGACCACUUGAUUGGGUAUAUUCUUCUUUUCUUUUCUUAUUUUAUUGUCAUGUUAGUAAUUAGUACUAAUGGUAAAUAAUAUGAUUUUAUGACUCAUUAAAUAGGAUGAUAUUUUUAGAUAAAAUAAGAUGAUAUUUUAAAAAAAAAUAAUUUUAGAGGCUUGGAGAGAAAUCUACAUAAUUAUUUUUUUAUUAAGAAAUAUUGUUUUUACUCAAUGUGAAAUAGUAAAGUAAUAAUUUCAAGAAAAAAAAAAGAAAACUCUUUUAGAAAAAAUAGAAUAAUAUUUUUAAAAAAUGAUUUUGAAAACCUUAUUUAAAUAUUGAAGAGAAUUCAAAUCAUAUUUUGAAGGAUUAAUUUUUUUAAAUCUGUUUAGAUAUUGGAGAAUUAAAGGAAAUUACCUUUCACAAAAAAUAAAUAAAAAAAUAAAAUUUAUUUCACCAUUGAUUUUUUUUCCAAAAAAAUAGAUAAUAAAAAAAUAGGAUUAAAUGAAUAUGAGAUACGUCAAGUUUAGUUAAUUGUUUGUAUUUACAUCAUUUACUUAUUUCUUGUUACAUUUUGAAUUGUAAUAAUAGUGUGAAUUAUUGAUUUAUAAAUUUUAAAAAUUAGUUCUUUUUAAUAAUAGUUAAUAUUCUUAUGUAAAAAUAAUUAUUAAGACUCUUCCUAGAUAUUAGAAGGCUUUUUAAUAAUUACUUUUUACGUAAAAAUAUUACAUCAAAUUCUAAAGAAUAUUGCGAGAAUUCUAAGUAAAAAAAUAUUUUUUAAAAUUUUACCUAGAUAUUGGAGAAUUAAAAAAUAUUUUGAUACUAAAAAUUCACAUCUUAUUCUUAAAUAAAAGGUUUUAUUCUUAAAUAAAAUGAAUAAAAUUGAAAUCUAUGUUAGACAAAUUUAAUUUGUUAUCUUAUUUUAAUUUUUAUUCGUAUUAUAUAUCUAUUUUAUAUGAUAAGUGUUUGCUUUUCAUUACUUAAAAAAAAUAAUAAAUGGUGGUUUAUAAAGAUUUGUUUUAAAUAAAAAACUAAUAUUUUUAAGUUAAAAUGAUUUUUGGAACCCUAUUUAAAUAUUGAAGGGUUUUUCAAUAAUUAUUCUUUAGAAAGAAAUAUUAUGUAAAAUUUUUGAGAGAUUAUUAUGAAAGUCUCAAGUAAAGAGAUAUUUUUUUAAGUUUUGCCUAAAUAUUGUAGAAGCAAAAAUGUUUUGAUGUUAAAUAUUUUCAUCUUAUUUCUAAAUAAAAUGUUCUAAAAUAGGAUAAUAAUUAUAAAGUUUAAAAUGUGAAGAAAUUAUUUUUAAAUAUUAAAUUUAAAACCAUUUUUAUCAAUAGUUAGGAUAAUAUAUGAUUAAUUGGUAUCAAGAUUUUAUAGGCAUUGUAAGAUAUUAAUUUUUUUCACGCGUAAUUGAUUCUUGAAUUUAACUUUGUUUUCGUAGAUCAAAAUAUUUUUUUGAUAAACCAUAAAUUUGUUUUAUUAUUUUAUUGAAAAGAUAAAUUUUUAGAUAAUCAAUUGCAUUUAACAAAAAAAAGAUUAGUGAUAACUCUUUCUGUUUUGAAAUUUUUAAAAUUUUUGUUUAGUGAUCCCUAAAAUCAUUACGACAUUUGAUGCAUAUCUUCACUAUACAUACAUACAUACAUAUAUAUAUAUAUGUAAGAUAACAGAAAAAUACUAUAUGCAAGUAUUAAUUUUGAUGUUUUGACAAAAUACUAUAUACAAAGUAUUAAUCUUUCUGAGUGAGGAUAAUAGAAAAAUAGUAUAUGCAAGCAUUAAUCUUUCUCUUCAUUCUUGCAUUUUAUGUAUAUCUCUUUAGUGAUUUUUACGCUUUGAGCAAUGAUUCUCUGAGCUGUGAUUACUUUGUGCAGGACUAGGAUUUAUCACAUCUCUAGUUUUUGUCUUCUUUGUUCGUGCUUUUGGAGUUGCUUAUUUCUCAUUGGAAGAAUAGGUUAUAAUGCGAAUGCCACAUAUAUACUCAACCUUAAAAUACAACUUUUUUUUUUUUUUUCAAUCAAAGACCCUAUAUCAACUUUCAAAAACGAAGUCUUUAUGAUUUUUUCUUUUACAAUGAAAGAUUAUAUUUUUACUUACGAAAACAUAUAUUUUUGUUUUAAAAAUCGAGGAUUAUGUUUUUAAUUUAAAAAAGUUAUGUAUCAACUUUCACAAGCGUAAUCUUUAUAAAAUUUUAUUUCAAUCAAA